AGGAUACGCUGGACAAGGCAGUACUUAAGGCCAAGUUAUUUCACAGUCUGGGAGCUCUUUCUGGCUGGAAUUGUAUGAUUGUGAAGACAUCGCGAACCUUAAAGGUUGAGAAGUGAACGGAUUAUACGGCGAACUGAGACGACGUGAAAAAGGGGAUUGGAAGCGGCAUUGAUGUGAGUACUAAGAGCCAGUCGAAAGUGCCCUGUAUAUUGACCUGGCGUUGUGUAGAUCUCUCCAGGAGGAGGAGGGCGGCCCUACCCCUAAUAUAGCGUGGUGGGAGAGCCGAAGGAAUACUUAUUGAAGUAGUCACAACGACGACAUCACUAGCUAGGCCGCAUAUUCCAUCGCCAGAUCCGAACCAAGCGAAGUGAAGGAAGACGGGUGUCCUUUUCGUACACUGAGUGUGGUGGGUGAGUCUUCGUGCUGUGAAAACCUAUAAUUUUGACGUGGUGUUGUAUAUUGCUGUGGGCUGCUGUGUAUUGCCGUGUGUCCUGUCAGAUAAACCCCCGCCUUCACGCACUUCGUCGCGGGAGGACAAGGAGACUGCUGGUCCUAGCCUAGUUCAGUACAGUAUAUGUUGUGAGCGUGCUUCAGAUCUCCGGAGAUAGCACGGUACGCUGUGUCCAGCCCAGAGGUGAAAGCCAUCCAAAGCAAACUAACUGUGCUAUUGUGCCCAAGUUGAUACCUGUGGAGAGGAAAGGAAAGAGAGAGUGAGUAACACAAGGAGAAACAGAGGAAACCUGUACUUACAGUACGCUGUGUCCAGCCCAGAGGUGAAAGCCAUCCAAAGCAGAGUAACUGUGCUUUGCGUCCAAGUUGAUACCUGUGGAGAGGAAAGGAAAGAGAGAUUGAUACCUGUGGAGAGAAAAGGAGAGAGAGUGAAUAACACGAGGAGGAAUAGAGCGAACCCUGUACUUACAGUACGCUGUGUCCAGCCCAGAGGUGAAAGCCAUCCAAAGCAGAGUAACUGUGCUUUGCGUCCAAGUUGAUACCUGUGGAGAGAAAAGGAGAGAGAGGGAAUAACACGGAAGACAGCAGAUAGUAUCUGUUAGCGUUC
Long non-coding RNA from Cyprinus carpio (common carp), 1057 nucleotides. The record is from Ensembl. Lineage: Eukaryota; Metazoa; Chordata; Actinopteri; Cypriniformes; Cyprinidae.